Molecule: ribosomal RNA, 253 nt
Filed under: uncultured bacterium
Lineage: Bacteria
Description: partial 16S ribosomal RNA
Rfam family: Bacterial small subunit ribosomal RNA
Source: RNAcentral
UACGGGGGGGGCAAGCGUUGUUCGGAAUUACUGGGCGGAAAGGGCUCGUAGGUGGCCAACUAAGUCGGACGUGAAAUCCCUCGGCUUAACUGGGGAACUGCGUCUGAUACUGGAUGGCUUGGAUUUGGGAGAGGGAUGCGGAAUUCCAGGUGUAGCGGUGAAAUGCGUAGAUAUCUGGAGGAACACCGGUGGCGAAGGCGGCAUCCUGGACCAACAUUGACGCUGAGGAGCGAAAGCCAGGGGAGCAAACGGG